This 778-nucleotide ribosomal RNA is filed under the name uncultured Neocallimastigales. RNAcentral describes it as "partial large subunit ribosomal RNA". It matches the Rfam family "Eukaryotic large subunit ribosomal RNA", at positions 22 to 636 of the family's 3401-position model. Lineage: Eukaryota; Fungi; Neocallimastigomycota; Neocallimastigomycetes; Neocallimastigales. The record is from RNAcentral.
CAUAGCGACUAUCGUGGCAUAUCAAUAAGCGGAGGAAAAGAAACUAACUAGGAUUCCCUUAGUAACGGCGAGUGAAGCGGGAAGAGCUCAAAUUUGAAAUCUUCAAGGUUUUACCUUGACGAAUUGUAGUUUAAAGAAGUGUUUUCUGUUGGAGUUUUGGUAAAAGUUCUUUGGAAUAGGACAUCAUAGAGGGUGAGAAUCCCGUAUUUGACCAUUAUUUCCAACUUUGUGAUACACUUUCAAAGAGUCGGAUUGUUUGGGAAUGCAGUCCAAAAUGGGUGGUAAAUUUCAUCUAAAGCUAAAUACUUGGCGAGAGACCGAUAGCGAACAAGUACCGUGAGGGAAAGAUGAAAAGAACUUUGAAAAGAGAGUUAAACAGUACGUGAAAUUGUCAAAAGGGAAGCGUUUGACACCAGUGUUGUUUUCUCGAAAAUCAAUUAAAAAUGAUGGGAUUUUGUGUUGUAUUGACCUUAUCAAGCUUUCUUCACUCUUUUCUUAGUCUUUUUUAAUGCACUUUUCGUUUAACAAGUCAACAUCAGUUUCUUUUGUUGUAAAAGGUCAUUGGAAGGUGGCUUUUUCUUCGGAGAAAGUGUUUAUAGCCUUUGCUCUCUGCAAUCGGAGAGGAUUGAGGUCUGCAGCGUAGACUCCUUCGGGGUUAGAUACAUUUGUACUAAGCUAUAGUUCUUUAUAGACAACUUGUUGACUAUAAUCAAUCCUGUAACUUACUCGCUUAUGCUAUUUUACCUACGCUUAGGAUGUUGACGAGACUGUCGAUCUC